AUUGAACGCUGGCGGCAUGCCUUACACAUGCAAGUCGAACGGUAACAGGUCUUCGGAUGCUGCCGAGUGGCGAACGGGUGAGUAAUACAUCGGAACGUGCCCGAUCGUGGGGGAUAACGGAGCGAAAGCUUUGCUAAUACCGCAUACGAUCUACGGAUGACAGCAGGGGACCGCAAGGCCUUGCGCGGACGGAGCGGCCGAUGGCAGAUUAGGUAGUUGGUGGGAUAAAAGCUUACCAAGCCGACGAUCUGUAGCUGGUCUGAGCGGACGACCAGCCACACUGGGACUGAGACACGGCCCAGACUCCUACGGGAGGCAGCAGUGGGGAAUUUUGGACAAUGGGCGAAAGCCUGAUCCAGCCAUGCCGCGUGCAGGAUGAAGGCCGUCGGGUUGUAAACUGCUUUUGUACGGAACGAAAAGACUCUUUCUAAUAAAGAGGGUCCAUGACGGUACCGUAAGAAUAAGCACCGGCUAACUACGU
RNAcentral lists this ribosomal RNA (481 nucleotides) under uncultured bacterium. RNAcentral's name for it is "partial 16S ribosomal RNA". It matches the Rfam family "Bacterial small subunit ribosomal RNA", at positions 30 to 506 of the family's 1533-position model. The record is from RNAcentral.